CCUACGGGAGGCAGCAGUGGGGGAAUCUUGCGCAAUGGGCGAAAGCCUGACGCAGCCAUGCCGCGUGAAUGAUGAAGGUCUUAGGAUUGUAAAAUUCUUUCACCGGGGACGAUAAUGACGGUACCCGGAGAAGAAGCCCCGGCUAACUUCGUGCCAGCAGCCGCGGUAAUACGAAGGGGGGCUAGCGUUGCUCGGAAUUACUGGGCGUAAAGGGGAGCGUAGGCGGAUAGUUUAGUCAGAGGUGAAAGCCCAGGGCUCAACCUUGGAAUUGCCUUUGAUACUGGCUAUCUUGAGUAUGGGAGAGGUUAGCGGAACUCCGAGUGUAGAGGUGAAAUUCGUAGAUAUUCGGAAGAACACCAGUGGCGAAGGCGGCUAACUGGCCCAUUACUGACGCUGAGGCUCGAAAGCGUAGGGGAGCGAAACAGGAUUAGGAUACCCGUGGUAGUCCACGCCGUAAACGAUGAAGUGCUAGUUGUCGGCAUGCAUGCAUGUCGGUAGACGCAGCUAACGCAUUAAGCACUCCGCCUGGGGACUACGGUCGCAAGNUUAAAACUCAAAUGAAAUUGACGGNNGAGACGNGCGAGACGACGACGAGGAGAGG
This 601-nucleotide ribosomal RNA is filed under the name uncultured bacterium. Its description in RNAcentral is "bacterial SSU rRNA". It matches the Rfam family "Bacterial small subunit ribosomal RNA", at positions 338 to 946 of the family's 1533-position model. The record is from RNAcentral.